GAUGUAGCGCAGUGAUAGUGCGACUGCCUGUGAUGCAGAUGUUUCCGGGUUCGAGUCCCGGUGGGUCA
Phthorimaea operculella (potato tuberworm) is the source of this 68-nucleotide non-coding RNA. Lineage: Eukaryota; Metazoa; Arthropoda; Insecta; Lepidoptera; Gelechiidae. The record is from the annotation of a GenBank genome assembly.